RNAcentral lists this ribosomal RNA (866 nucleotides) under Oxyrrhis marina. Its description in RNAcentral is "partial Bacterial small subunit ribosomal RNA". It matches the Rfam family "Bacterial small subunit ribosomal RNA", at positions 9 to 905 of the family's 1533-position model. The record is from RNAcentral. Lineage: Eukaryota; Dinophyceae; Oxyrrhinales; Oxyrrhinaceae.
GAGUUUGAUACUGGCUCAGAUUGAACGCUGGCGGUAUGCCUAACACAUGCAAGUCGAACGAGGUAGCAAUACCUAGUGGCGGACGGGUGAGGAAUACGUAGGGAUCUGCCUUUAAGUGGGGGAUAACCCGGGGAAACCCGGAUUAAUACCGCAUGAUCUCGCAAGAGCAAAGUGGGGGAUCGCAAGACCUCACGCUUUUAGAGGAACCUACGUCGGAUUAGCUUGUUGGUGAGGUAAUGGCUCACCAAGGCGACGAUCUAUAGCUGGUCUGAGAGGAUGAUCAGCCACAUCGGGACUGAGACACGGCCCGAACUCCUACGGGAGGCAGCAGUGGGGAAUAUUGGACAAUGGGGGAAACCCUGAUCCAGCAAUGCCGCGUGAGUGAUGAAGGCCUUAGGGUUGUAAAGCUCUUUUACCCGGGAUGAUAAUGACAGUACCGGGAGAAUAAGCUCCGGCUAACUCCGUGCCAGCAGCCUCGGUAAUACGGAGGGUGCAAGCGUUAUCCGGAAUCACUGGGUUUAAAGGGUGCGUAGGCGGCGCUAUAAGUCAGAGGUGAAAGGCCACAGCUUAACUGUGGGACUGCCUUUGAUACUGUAGUGCUUGAAUUAGGCUGAGGUCGGCGGAAUGUGACAUGUAGCGGUGAAAUGCUUAGAUAUGUCAUAGAACACCAAUUGCGAAGGCAGCUGACUAGACCUUAAUUGACGCUGAGGCACGAAAGCGUGGGGAGCGAACAGGAUUAGAUACCCUGGUAGUCCAUGCCGUAAACGUUGGGCACUAGGUGUGGGGACCAUUCCACGGUUUCCGCGCCGCAGCUAACGCAUUAAGUGCCCCGCCUGGGGAGUACGGCCGCAAGGCUAAAACUCAAA